RNAcentral lists this transfer-messenger RNA (364 nucleotides) under Burkholderiales. Its description in RNAcentral is "UBA954 sp002293155 Standard tmRNA". It matches the Rfam family "transfer-messenger RNA". Rfam says of the family: Bacterial tmRNA, also known as 10Sa RNA or SsrA, is named for its dual tRNA and mRNA-like properties. Its role is to liberate the mRNA from a stalled ribosome. RNAcentral also lists the same sequence under 3 other names. The record is from RNAcentral. Lineage: Bacteria; Pseudomonadati; Pseudomonadota; Betaproteobacteria.
GGGGCCGACCCGGUUUCGACGUGGGUAGUGAAGAAGCGCAGGGCAUACCGAGGCUCGAUUCCCUCGUAAAUACAGUCGAAAAACUAUAAACGCCAACGACGAGCGUUUUGCUCUCGCAGCCUAAGGGCUAGCGAGCGCUGCAACGGCACGCUGAUGGGCCGGGUGGGUCAAACCACUGCAGCGUCAUUCACAUCAGAUCGUCACCUGAUAAGCCGUGGGUCAGGUGCCUAAAACAAGCGGAUCGCGGAUGACCGGCCUGUCUGUUGGCUAAGUCACUUCGUUAAAUUUAAAUAAACCGACUAAGUAUGUAGAACUGUCUUUGGAUGACUUGCGGACGCGGGUUCGAUUCCCGCCGGCUCCACCA